UACGAAGGGGGCUAGCGUUGCUCGGAAUCACUGGGCGUAAAGGGUGCGUAGGCGGGUCUUUAAGUCAGGGGUGAAAUCCUGGAGCUCAACUCCAGAACUGCCUUUGAUACUGAAGAUCUUGAGUUCGGGAGAGGUGAGUGGAACUGCGAGUGUAGAGGUGAAAUUCGUAGAUAUUCGCAAGAACACCAGUGGCGAAGGCGGCUCACUGGCUCGUAACUGACGCUCAUGCACGACAGCGUGGGGAUCAAACAGG
This 253-nucleotide ribosomal RNA is filed under the name uncultured bacterium. RNAcentral describes it as "partial 16S ribosomal RNA". It matches the Rfam family "Bacterial small subunit ribosomal RNA", at positions 524 to 776 of the family's 1533-position model. The record is from RNAcentral.